This 709-nucleotide ribosomal RNA is filed under the name Septoglomus africanum. RNAcentral describes it as "SSU rRNA". It matches the Rfam family "Eukaryotic small subunit ribosomal RNA", at positions 351 to 1065 of the family's 1831-position model. Lineage: Eukaryota; Fungi; Glomeromycota; Glomeromycetes; Glomerales; Glomeraceae. The record is from RNAcentral.
GGUAACGGGUAACGGGGUGUUAGGGCACGACACCGGAGAGGGAGCCUGAGAAACGGCUACCACAUCCAAGGAAGGCAGCAGGCGCGCAAAUUACCCAAUCCCGACAUGGGGAGGUAGUGACAAUAAAUAACAAUACAGGGUUCUUUUGGAUCUUGUAAUUGGAAUGAGUACAAUUUAAAUCUCUUAACGAGGAACAAUUGGAGGGCAAGUCUGGUGCCAGCAGCCGCGGUAGUUCCAGCUCCAAUAGCGUAUAUUAAAGUUGUUGCAGUUAAAAAGCUCGUAGUUGAAUUUCGGGAUCAAGGGAUCGGUCAUGCCUUGGUAUGUACUGGUUUUAUUGGUUCUCACCUUCUAAAGAACCAUAAUGUCAUUUAUUUGAUGUUAUGGGGAAUUAGGACUGUUACCUUGAAAAAAUUAGAGUGUUUAAAGCAAGCUUACGCUUGAAUACAUUAGCAUGGAAUAAUGAAAUAGGACAUCAGAUUCUAUUUUGUUGGUUUCUAGGAUCGAUGUAAUGAUUAAUAGGGAUAGUUGGGGGCAUUAGUAUUCAAUCGUCAGAGGUGAAAUUCUUGGAUUUAUUGAAGACUAACUACUGCGAAAGCAUUUGCCAAGGAUGUUUUCAUUAAUCAAGAACGAAAGUUAGGGGAUCGAAGACGAUCAGAUACCGUCGUAGUCUUAACCAUAAACUAUGCCGACUAGGGAUCGGAUGAUGUUA